RNAcentral lists this ribosomal RNA (270 nucleotides) under uncultured Cercozoa. RNAcentral's name for it is "partial 18S ribosomal RNA". The stretch from base 96 to 270 matches the Rfam family "Eukaryotic small subunit ribosomal RNA", at positions 741 to 955 of the family's 1831-position model. The record is from RNAcentral. Lineage: Eukaryota; Cercozoa.
GACUUCUGGUUUAAUGCCCCUGGCCCGCGGCCCACAAGGCCUGUGAGUGCGUUUACCAACCUUCCAGCAACGGCUACCCUUAACUGGGCGGCUGGAACUGGAUCUUUUACUUUGAAAAAUUAGAGUGUUGAAAGCAGGCGUUUGCUCUGAAUACAUUAGCAUGGAAUAAGAAGCUAGGACUUCGGUUCUAUUUUGUUGGUUUCUAAAACUGAAGUAAUGAUUGAGAGGGAUAGUUGGGGGUGGUCAGAGGUGAACUUAUGCGAAAGCAUU